GGCGAGUGAAGCGGGAACAGCUCAAAUUUGAAAUCUGGCCCUUGGGUCCGAGUUGUAAUUUGCAGAGGAUGCUUUUGGUGCGGUGCCUUCCGAGUUCCCUGGAACGGGACGCCUUAGAGGGUGAGAGCCCCGUACGGUUGGACACCAAGCCUAUGUAAAGCUCCUUCGACGAGUCGAGUAGUUUGGGAAUGCUGCUCAAAAUGGGAGGUAUAUUUCUUCUAAAGCUAAAUAUUGGCCAGAGACCGAUAGCGCACAAGUAGAGUGAUCGAAAGAUGAAAAGCACUUUGAAAAGAGGGUUAAAUAGCACGUGAAAUUGUUGAAAGGGAAGGAUUUAUGACCAGACUUUUUCUAGGGGGAUCAUCCGGUGUUCUCACCGGUGCACUUCCCCUAGUUGAGGCCAGCAUCGGUUUCUGUCGGGGGAUAAAAGCUUUAGGAAUGUGGCUCCCUCCGGGGAGUGUUAUAGCCUGUUGCAUAAUACCCUGACGGGGACCGAGGUUCGCGCAUUGCAAGGAUGCUGGCGUAAUGGUUAUUAAUCACCCGUCUUGAAACACGGACCAAGGAGUCGAACAUUUGUGCGAGUGUUUGGGUGUUAAACCCUCACGCGUAAUGAAAGUGAACGGAGGUGAGAGCCUUUCGGGGUGCAUCAUCGACCGAUCCUGAUGUCUUCGGAUGGAUUUGAGUAAGAGCAUUAAUGUUCGGACCCGAAAGAUGGUGAACUAUGCGUGGAUAGGGUGAAGCCAGAGGAAACUCUGGUGGAGGCUCGCAGCGGUUCUGACGUGCAAAUCGAUCGUCAAAUCUGCGCAUGGGGGCGAA
This 813-nucleotide ribosomal RNA is filed under the name Apiospora sp. RNAcentral describes it as "partial large subunit ribosomal RNA". It matches the Rfam family "Eukaryotic large subunit ribosomal RNA", at positions 88 to 927 of the family's 3401-position model. Lineage: Eukaryota; Fungi; Ascomycota; Sordariomycetes; Amphisphaeriales; Apiosporaceae. The record is from RNAcentral.